GUGAGGAAUAUUGCGCAAUGGAGGCAACUCUGACGCAGCCAUGCCGCGUGCAGGAAGAAGGCGCUACGCGUUGUAAACUGCUUUUAACCGGGAAGAAACCCCAGGACGUGUCCUGGGUUGACGGUACCGGAGGAAUAAGCACCGGCUAACUUCGUGCCAGCAGCCGCGGUAAUACGAAGGGUGCAAGCGUUAUCCGGAUUCAUUGGGUUUAAAGGGUGCGUAGGCGGAGCGUUAAGUCAGUGGUGAAAUCCUGCAGCUUAACUGUAGACUUGCCAUUGAUACUGGCGCUCUUGAGUGUGCUUGAAGUGGGCGGAAUGUGCCGUGUAGCGGUGAAAUGCUUAGAUAUGGCACAGAACACCAAUUGCGAAGGCAGCUCACUAAGGCGAUACUGACGCUGAGGCACGAAAGCGUGGGGAUCGAACAGGAUUAGAAACCCUUGUAGUCC
RNAcentral lists this ribosomal RNA (445 nucleotides) under uncultured bacterium. RNAcentral's name for it is "partial 16S ribosomal RNA". It matches the Rfam family "Bacterial small subunit ribosomal RNA", at positions 354 to 796 of the family's 1533-position model. The record is from RNAcentral.